AGCGAACGCUGGCGGCAGGCCUGACACAUGCAAGUCGAACGAACUCUUCGGAGUUAGUGGCGGACGGGUGAGUAACACGUGGGAACGUGCCUUUUGGUUCGGAAUAACUCAGGGAAACUUGUGCUAAUACCGAAUGCGCCCUUCGGGGGAAAGAUUUAUCGCCAUUAGAGCGGCCCGCGUCUGAUUAGCUAGUUGGUGAGGUAACGGCUCACCAAGGCGACGAUCAGUAGCUGGUCUGAGAGGAUGACCAGCCACACUGGGACUGAGACACGGCCCAGACUCCUACGGGAGGCAGCAGUGGGGAAUCUUGCGCAAUGGGCGAAAGCCUGACGCAGCCAUGCCGCGUGAAUGAUGAAGGUCUUAGGAUUGUAAAAUUCUUUCACCGGGGACGAUAAUGACGGUACCCGGAGAAGAAGCCCCGGCUAACUUCGUG
RNAcentral lists this ribosomal RNA (433 nucleotides) under uncultured bacterium. RNAcentral describes it as "partial 16S ribosomal RNA". It matches the Rfam family "Bacterial small subunit ribosomal RNA", at positions 29 to 507 of the family's 1533-position model. The record is from RNAcentral.